GAAUCUUGCGCAAUGCGCGAAAGCGUGACGCAGCAACGCCGCGUGGGGGAAGAAGGCCUUCGGGUUGUAAAGCACUUUUUGCAGGAAAGAAACGUCGCGGGCUAAUACCCCGCGAAACUGACGGUACCUGCAGAAUAAGCACCGGCUAACUACGUGCCAGCAGCCGCGGUAAGACGUAGGAUGCAAGCGUUGUUCGGAUUUAUUGGGCGUAAAGCGUACGUAGGCGGUUCGCCAAGUCUGGUGUUAAAGCUAGGAGCUCAACUCCUGUGAUGCACUGGAAACUGGCGGGCUUGAGUGCGGUAGGGGAAAGUGGAAUUCCGAGUGUAGCGGUGAAAUGCGUAGAUAUUCGGAAGAACGCCAGUGGCGAAAGCGACUUUCUGGGCCGCAACUGACGCUGAGGUACGAAAGCGUGGGGAGCAAAC
RNAcentral lists this ribosomal RNA (422 nucleotides) under uncultured bacterium. Its description in RNAcentral is "bacterial SSU rRNA". It matches the Rfam family "Bacterial small subunit ribosomal RNA", at positions 359 to 773 of the family's 1533-position model. The record is from RNAcentral.